AUACGGAGGGGGCUAGCGUUGUUCGGAAUUACUGGGCGUAAAGCGCGCGUAGGCGGCUUAUCAAGUUAGGCGUGAAAGGCCUGGGCUCAACCCGGGAACUGCGCUUAAUACUGGUAGACUUGAGUCCGGGAGAGGGUGGCGGAAUUCCCAGUGUAGAGGUGAAAUUCGUAGAUAUUGGGAAGAACACCAGUGGCGAAGGCGGCCACCUGGCCCGGUACUGACGCUGAGGUGCGAAAGCGUGGGGAGCAAACCGGAUUAGAAACCCCAGUAGUCC
RNAcentral lists this ribosomal RNA (274 nucleotides) under uncultured bacterium. RNAcentral describes it as "partial 16S ribosomal RNA". It matches the Rfam family "Bacterial small subunit ribosomal RNA", at positions 523 to 796 of the family's 1533-position model. The record is from RNAcentral.